This 283-nucleotide non-coding RNA is filed under the name Papio anubis (olive baboon). The record is from RNAcentral. Lineage: Eukaryota; Metazoa; Chordata; Mammalia; Primates; Cercopithecidae.
GCUGGGCAUGGUGGCGUGCACCUGUAAUCCCAGCUACUUGGGAGGCUGAGGCAGGAGAAUCCCUUGAACCUGGGAGGUGGAGAUUGCAGUGAGCUGAGAUCGCGCCACUGCACUCCAGCCUGGGUGACAGAGCGAGACUUUGUCUCAAAAAAAAGUAAUAAAAUACACAUAGCAUAAAAUGUAUCAUUUUAACCCCUGUCUCCAGGCUGGAGAGGUGUGUGUGGUAUCGACCUCAGCUCACUGCAAUUCCCACCUCCAGGUUCAAGGGAUUCUCCUGCCUCAG